GGCACUCUGGAGAAACUGCCCGUGAUAAGCGGGAGGAAGGUGUGGAUGACGUCAAGUCCUCAUGGCCCUUACGGGUUGGGCUACACACGUGCUACAAUGGUAGUGACAAUGGGUUAAUCCCAAAAAGCUAUCUCAGUUCGGAUUGGGGUCUGCAACUCGACCCCAUGAAGUCGGAAUCGCUAGUAAUCGCGUAACAGCAUGACGCGGUGAAUACGUUCCCGGGCCUUGUACACACCGCCCGU
RNAcentral lists this ribosomal RNA (242 nucleotides) under uncultured Alphaproteobacteria bacterium. Its description in RNAcentral is "partial 16S ribosomal RNA". It matches the Rfam family "Bacterial small subunit ribosomal RNA", at positions 1134 to 1397 of the family's 1533-position model. Lineage: Bacteria; Pseudomonadati; Pseudomonadota; Alphaproteobacteria. The record is from RNAcentral.